This 760-nucleotide ribosomal RNA is filed under the name uncultured bacterium. RNAcentral describes it as "bacterial SSU rRNA". It matches the Rfam family "Bacterial small subunit ribosomal RNA", at positions 28 to 777 of the family's 1533-position model. The record is from RNAcentral.
GAUGAACGCUAGCUACAGGCUUAACACAUGCAAGUCGAGGGGCAGCAUGGUCUUAGCUUGCUAAGGCCGAUGGCGACCGGCGCACGGGUGAGUAACACGUAUCCAACCUGCCGUCUACUCUUGGACAGCCUUCUGAAAGGAAGAUUAAUACAAGAUGGCAUCAUGAGUCCGCAUGUUCACAUGAUUAAAGGUAUUCCGGUAGACGAUGGGGAUGCGUUCCAUUAGAUAGUAGGCGGGGUAACGGCCCACCUAGUCUUCGAUGGAUAGGGGUUCUGAGAGGAAGGUCCCCCACAUUGGAACUGAGACACGGUCCAAACUCCUACGGGAGGCAGCAGUGAGGAAUAUUGGUCAAUGGACGAGAGUCUGAACCAGCCAAGUAGCGUGAAGGAUGACUGCCCUAUGGGUUGUAAACUUCUUUUAUACGGGAAUAAAGUGAGGCACGUGUGCCUUUUUGUAUGUACCGUAUGAAUAAGGAUCGGCUAACUCCGUGCCAGCAGCCGCGGUAAUACGGAGGAUCCGAGCGUUAUCCGGAUUUAUUGGGUUUAAAGGGAGCGUAGGCGGACGCUUAAGUCAGUUGUGAAAGUUUGCGGCUCAACCGUAAAAUUGCAGUUGAUACUGGGUGUCUUGAGUACAGUAGAGGCAGGCGGAAUUCGUGGUGUAGCGGUGAAAUGCUUAGAUAUCACGAAGAACUCCGAUUGCGAAGGCAGCCUGCUAAGCUGCAACUGACAUUGAGGCUCGAAAGUGUGGGUAUCAAACCAGG